Molecule: ribosomal RNA, 245 nt
Filed under: uncultured bacterium
Lineage: Bacteria
Description: partial 16S ribosomal RNA
Rfam family: Bacterial small subunit ribosomal RNA
Source: RNAcentral
CCAGCCGUAAACUAUGAACACUAGGUGUGGGGGGUAUCGACCCCUUCCGUGCCGCAGCUAACGCAAUAAGUGUUCCGCCUGGGGAGUACGGCCGCAAGGUUGAAACUCAAAGGAAUUGACGGGGGCCCGCACAAGCGGUGGAGUAUGUGGUUUAAUUCGAAGCAACGCGAAGAACCUUACCAAGGCUUGACAUCGAUGGAAGGACGCUGAAAGGCGUCUGCUCUUCGGAGCCAGAAGACAGGUGG